GACGAACGCUGGCGGCGUGCUUAACACAUGCAAGUCGAACGGAAAGGCCCUGCUUUUGUGGGGUGCUCGAGUGGCGAACGGGUGGGUAACACGUGAGUAACCUGCCCUUGACUUUGGGAUAACUUCAGGAAACUGGGGCUAAUACCGGAUAGGAGCUCCUGCUGCAUGGUGGGGGUUGGAAAGUUUCGGCGGUUGGGGAUGGACUCGCGGCUUAUCAGCUUGUUGGUGGGGUAGUGGCUUACCAAGGCUUUGACGGGUAGCCGGCCUGAGAGGGUGACCGGCCACAUUGGGACUGAGAUACGGCCCAGACUCCUACGGGAGGCAGCAGUGGGGAAUAUUGCACAAUGGGCGGAAGCCUGAUGCAGCAACGCCGCGUGCGGGAUGACGGCCUUCGGGUUGUAAACCGCUUUCGCCUGUGACGAAGCGUGAGUGACGGUAAUGGGUAAAGAAGCACCGGCUAACUACGUGCCAGCAGCCGCGGUGAUACGUAGGGUGCGAGCGUUGUCCGGAUUUAUUGGGCGUAAAGGGCUCGUAGGUGGUUGAUCGCGUCGGAAGUGUAAUCUUGGGGCUUAACCCUGAGCGUGCUUUCGAUACGGGUUGACUUGAGGAAGGUAGGGGAGAAUGGAAUUCCUGGUGGAGCGGUGGAAUGCGCAGAUAUCAGGAGGAACACCAGUGGCGAAGGCGGUUCUCUGGGCCUUUCCUGACGCUGAGGAGCGAAAGCGUGGGGAGCGAACAGGCUUAGAUACCCUGGUAGUCCACGCUGUAAACGGUGGGUACUAGGUGUGGGGUCCAUUCCACGGGUUCCGUGCCGUAGCUAACGCUUUAAGUACCCCGCCUGGGGAGUACGGCCGCAAGGCUAAAACUCAAAGGAAUUGACGGGGCCCCGCACAAGCGGCGGAGCAUGCGGAUUAAUUCGAUGCAACGCGUAGAACCUUACCUGGGUUUGACAUGGAUCGGGAGUGCUCAGAGAUGGGUGUGCCUCUUUUGGGGUCGGUUCACAGGUGGUGCAUGGCUGUCGUCAGCUCGUGUCGUGAGAUGUUGGGUUAAGUCCCGCAACGAGCGCAACCCUUGUUCACUGUUGCCAGCACGUUAUGGUGGGGACUCAGUGGAGACCGCCGGGGUCAACUCGGAGGAAGGUGGGGAUGACGUCAAGUCAUCAUGCCCCUUAUGUCCAGGGCUUCACGCAUGCUACAAUGGCUGGUACAGAGAGUGGCGAGCCUGUGAGGGUGAGCGAAUCUCGGAAAGCCGGUCUCAGUUCGGAUUGGGGUCUGCAACUCGACCUCAUGAAGUCGGAGUCGCUAGUAAUCGCAGAUCAGCAACGCUGCGGUGAGUACGUUCCCGGG
Molecule: ribosomal RNA, 1343 nt
Filed under: uncultured bacterium
Lineage: Bacteria
Description: 16S ribosomal RNA
Rfam family: Bacterial small subunit ribosomal RNA
Source: RNAcentral